CAGCCGCCACGGUAAUACGUAGGGUGCGAGCGUUAAUCGGAAUUACUGGGCGUAAAGCGUGCGCAGGCGGUUGUGUAAGACAGGUGUGAAAUCCCCGGGCUUAACCUGGGAACUGCGCUUGUGACUGCACAGCUAGAGUAUGGCAGAGGGGGGUGGAAUUCCACGUGUAGCAGUGAAAUGCGUAGAGAUGUGGAGGAACACCGAUGGCGAAGGCAGCCCCCUGGGCCAAUACUGACGCUCAUGCACGAAAGCGUGGGGAGCAAACAGGAUUAGAUACCCCCGUAGUCCCUGUCUCUUAUAA
Molecule: ribosomal RNA, 301 nt
Filed under: uncultured bacterium
Lineage: Bacteria
Description: partial 16S ribosomal RNA
Rfam family: Bacterial small subunit ribosomal RNA
Source: RNAcentral